UCCCUUGUAGCUCAGUCGGUAAAGAAUCUGCCUGCAAUGCAGGAGACCUGGGUUCGAUUCCUGGGUCGGGAC
RNAcentral lists this transfer RNA (72 nucleotides) under Bos taurus (domestic cattle). It matches the Rfam family "tRNA". Rfam says of the family: Transfer RNA (tRNA) molecules are approximately 80 nucleotides in length. Their secondary structure includes four short double-helical elements and three loops (D, anti-codon, and T loops). RNAcentral also lists the same sequence under 4 other names. The record is from Rfam by way of RNAcentral. Lineage: Eukaryota; Metazoa; Chordata; Mammalia; Artiodactyla; Bovidae.